Molecule: ribosomal RNA, 253 nt
Filed under: uncultured bacterium
Lineage: Bacteria
Description: partial 16S ribosomal RNA
Rfam family: Bacterial small subunit ribosomal RNA
Source: RNAcentral
UACGAAGGGGGCUAGCGUUGCUCGGAAUUACUGGGCGUAAAGCGCACGUAGGCGGACCGAUAAGUCGGGGGUGAAAUCCUGGAGCUCAACUCCAGAACUGCCUUCGAAACUGCCGGUCUUGAGUUCGGGAGAGGUGAGUGGAACUGCGAGUGUAGAGGUGAAAUUCGUAGAUAUUCGCAAGAACACCAGUGGCGAAGGCGGCUCACUGGCCCGAUACUGACGCUGAGACACGAAAGCGUGGGGAGCAAACAGG